UAAGGAAUAUUGGUCAAUGGACGCAAGUCUGAACCAGCCAUGCCGCGUGGAGGAUGAAGGUCCUCUGGAUUGUAAACUUCUUUUAUCUGGGAAGAAAUCCACAAAUUCUUUUGUGGUUGACGGUACCAGAUGAAUAAGCACCGGCUAACUCCGUGCCAGCAGCCGCGGUAAUACGGAGGGUGCAAGCGUUAUCCGGAUUCACUGGGUUUAAAGGGUGCGUAGGUGGGUUGGUAAGUCAGUGGUGAAAUCUCCAGGCUUAACUUGGAAACUGCCAUUGAUACUAUCAAUCUUGAAUACCGUGGAGGUUAGCGGAAUAUGUCAUGUAGCGGUGAAAUGCUUAGAGAUGACAUAGAACACCAAUUGCGAAGGCAGCUGGCUACACGAAUAUUGACACUGAUGCACGAAAGCGUGGGGAUCAAACAG
Molecule: ribosomal RNA, 423 nt
Filed under: uncultured bacterium
Lineage: Bacteria
Description: bacterial SSU rRNA
Rfam family: Bacterial small subunit ribosomal RNA
Source: RNAcentral